GCGGUGGUAAUCAAGUGGUUACGAUGCUGGACUGCUAAUCCAGUGCACAUCUGUGCGCGAGGGUUCAAGUCCCUCCCACCGCG
This 83-nucleotide transfer RNA is filed under the name Promethearchaeum syntrophicum. RNAcentral's name for it is "tRNA-Ser (GCT) (tRNA-Ser-GCT-1-1)". It matches the Rfam family "tRNA". Rfam says of the family: Transfer RNA (tRNA) molecules are approximately 80 nucleotides in length. Lineage: Archaea; Promethearchaeati; Promethearchaeota; Promethearchaeia; Promethearchaeales; Promethearchaeaceae. The record is from Rfam by way of RNAcentral.